RNAcentral lists this ribosomal RNA (511 nucleotides) under uncultured bacterium. RNAcentral describes it as "partial 16S ribosomal RNA". It matches the Rfam family "Bacterial small subunit ribosomal RNA", at positions 28 to 523 of the family's 1533-position model. The record is from RNAcentral.
GACGAACGCUGGCAGCGUGCCUAAUACAUGCAAGUCGUGCGGACUUUGCGGGAGCUUGCUCCCAAGAAGUAGCGGCCGACGGGUGAGUAACACGUGGGCAAACUGCCUGAACGACUGGGAUAACAUUUGGAAACGAAUGCUAAUACCGGAUAGGCAGCGAAGAGGCAUCUCUUUGCUGGGAAAGGCGGCAACGCGUCACUGUCAGAUGGGCCCGCGGCGCCUUGGCCAGGUGGUGAGGUAACGGCGCACCAAGGCGACGAUGCGUAGCCGACCUGAGGGGGUGACCGGCCACACUGGGACUGAGACACGGCCCAGACCCCUACGGGAGGCAGCAGUAGGGAAUCUUCCACAAUGGGCGAAAGCCUGAUGGAGCAACGCCGCGUGAGUGAUGAAGGCCUUCGGGUUGUAAAACUCUGUCUUCUGGGACGAACGGCCAAGAGAGGGAAUGCUCUUGGAUUGACGGUACCAGAGGAGGAAGCCACGGCUAACUACGUGCCAGCCGCCGCGGUAA